CACGUACUAUCAGAGUUUGAUCCUGGCUCAGGAUGAACGCUAGCUACAGGCUUAACACAUGCAAGUCGAGGGGCAGCAUGAAUAUUGGCUUGCCAAUAUUUGAUGGCGACCGGCGCACGGGUGAGUAACACGUAUCCAACCUUCCGGUUACUCGGGGAUAGGCUUUCGAAAGAAAGAUUAAUACCCGAUGUUGCGUAUCUUUCUCCUGAAAGAUACGCCAAAGGAUUCCGGUAACCGAUGGGGAUGCGUUCCAUUAGGCAGUUGGCGGGGUAACGGCCCACCAAGGCAUCGAUGGAUAGGGGAGCUGAGAGGCUUAUCCCCCACAUUGGGACUGAGACACGGCCCAA
RNAcentral lists this ribosomal RNA (347 nucleotides) under uncultured bacterium. Its description in RNAcentral is "bacterial SSU rRNA". It matches the Rfam family "Bacterial small subunit ribosomal RNA", at positions 1 to 334 of the family's 1533-position model. The record is from RNAcentral.